RNA transcript from Fukomys damarensis (Damara mole-rat), 4866 nucleotides. It is a transcript of the gene named serine/threonine kinase 11 interacting protein, with no coding region annotated. The record is from RefSeq and is a predicted model, not a curated record. The transcript is spliced from 26 exons. NCBI's taxonomy places the organism in Eukaryota, Metazoa, Chordata, Mammalia, Rodentia, Bathyergidae.
CUUACUUCCGGGGUUGGACUUCCUGUCCAUCACAAGGGAAAGCUUGCAGAGCUGGUUGGAGGGCCGGACACAACGGCUCCGCCCCCAGCGUCCCGUGGCCAUGACAACCGUAGCAAGGGAUUCCUUGGUGUGGAAGCUUGCGGAGCUUCUACGGGAGUCUGGGGAUGUGGUACUGUCUGGCUGUAGCACACUGAGCCUGCUGACUGUCACGCUGCAGCAGUUGAAUCGAGUGUUUGAGCUGUACCUGGGGCCAUGGGGUCCUAGCCAGACAGGCUUUGUGGCUCUGCCCUCCCACCCUGCCGACUCCCCCAUCAUCCUUCAACUUCAGUUCCUCUUUGAUGUGCUGCAGAAAACGCUUUCACUCAAGCUGGUCCAUAUCCCUGGGCCUGGCCUCCCAGGGCCCAUCAAGAUUUUUCCCUUCAAGUCUCUUCGGCAGUUGGAGCUCCGAGGUGUCCCCCUCCACUGCUUGCGUGGCCUCCAGGGCAUCUACUCUCAGCUGGAGACCCUGAUUUGCAGCAAGAGUCUCCAGGCAUUAGAGGAACUCCUUUCAGCCUGUGGCGGUGACCUCUGCUCUGCCCUUCCCUGGCUGGCUUUGCUUUCUGCCGACUUCAGCUACAAUGCCCUGACUGCCUUAGACGGCUCCCUGCAUCUCUUGUCAGCUCUGCGCUUCCUAAACCUGAGCCACAAUCGAGUGCAGGACUGCAAAGGCUUCCUGAUGGAUUUGUCUGAGCUGUGUCAUCUGGACAUCUCCUAUAACUACCUGCACUUGGUGCCAAGAAUGGGACCUUCAGGGGCUGCCCUGAGGACCUUGAUACUUCGAGGCAAUGAGCUCCAGAGCCUGCAAGGCUUGGAGCAGCUGAGGAACCUGCAGCAUCUGGAUGUGGCAUACAAUCUGCUGGAAGGACACAGGGAGCUGUGGCCACUGUGCCUACUGGCCGAGCUCCGCAAGCUCUAUCUGGAGGGGAACCCUUUGUGGUUUCAUCCUGCACAUCGCGUGGCCACCAUCCAGUACUUGUCACCCCGGGUCCGGGAUGCUGCUCACGGUUUCCUUCUUGAUGGUGAGGUCCUGUCACUGAAGGAUUUUCAGACCUCCACAUCCUCGGGGCUUGGCCCUUUGGCCCCGCCUCAGCCAUGGACCUUGGGGAGUACCACUGAAACCUCAGGUGGCCCUGAGCUGAGUGACAGCCUCUCUUCAGGGGGUGUUGCGGCCCAGGCCCCUCUUCGUAAGGUUAAGAGCCGAGUCCGUGUGAGGCAGGCGAGCAUCUCUGAGCCCAGUGAUACAGACCUGGAGCCCCGAACCCUGGAUCCCUCCCCAGCUGGAUUGUUUGUGCAACAACACCGGGAACUCGAGCUCCUGAACAGCUUCCGGGAAAGGUUUGGCUGUGACUGGCUGCAGUAUAGGAACCACCUGGAGGCCUCUGUGAGUCCCCUUCGGAGCACUUCUAAGACUCCUGCCCUUAGCACUUCUCCUCCAGAUGCCCUGGGCACUGAGACUCCCAGCCCUCUGGUCUCAGAGAAGGAAGUCAGAGGGUCUGAGGGGUCAGAACUGAAAGUGGCAGAGACGGGCAGGAAGGAGACGGAACCCCAAGAGGAAGAGGAGAAGGAGGAACAGGAAAAAGAAGAAGGAGCAAAGGAGGGGCAGGAAGAGGAAGAGGAAGAAGGGCAGGAACGGAAGGAAGUGGAAGCUGAGCUCUGUCGCCCCAUGUUGGUGUGUCCCCUGCAGAGGCCUGGGGGGGUGCAGGGAACAGAAUGCUUUCUCCGGGUCACUUCUGCCCACUUGGUUGAGGUGGAACUCCAAGCCGCUCGAACCCUUGGGCAGCUGGAGCUGCAGAGUCUGGUGACAGCUGAGCUAGAGCCUGAGAGCCCAACCCAAAGAGAACCAGUGCCAGAGGGCUCGGAUCACCUCCCAAGGGCCCCUGUCCUCGUGCUGCGCUUCGCCUACAUUUGCCCUGACCGGCAGUUGCGUCGCUACGUUGUGCUGGAGCCUGAUGCCCAUGUGGCUGCCCAGGAGUUUCUUGAUGUGCUGACCCCGUUUACCACAGUAGCACAGCAGCAGCUUGGGAAGGCCCACAGCCCACUGGGAGGCAGUUUCCAGUGUCUGCGCUGUGGCUUCGAGUUCAGGCCAGAGGAGCCGAGUCUGGGGUUGGACAGUGAGGAAGGCUGGAGGCCGUUGUUUCAAAAGACAGAGUCUCCUGCUGUGUGUCCCAGCUGUGGUAGUGACCACGUGGUUCUCCUGGCUCUGUCUGGGGAAACCCCCCACAGGGAGCAGAACCAGGCAGAGCAAUCACCGGCUCCCUCUCAGUCCCCCAGCCCUGGCUGUGACUCCUCUGGCCACAGUGACCACCCCAGCAGGGCUGACAACAUCCUAGUUUCCCACGGCCACAGCAGCUGGAGCCUCAGUCCCCCCGGUGAGCACUGUGGCUUCCGCUCUGUGGACCACCGACUCCGGCUCUUCCUGGACGUUGAGGUGUUUGGAGAUGCCCAGGAGGAGUUCCAGUGCUGCAUCAAGGUGCCAGUGGUGUUGUCAGGUCACCUGGGGGAAUUCCUGUGUCUUGUGGUCGUAUCUGAUUACAGGCUUUACCUGUUGAAGGUGACAGGGGACAUCUGCGGGCCUCCAGCUAGCUGGCUUCAGCCGACCCUGGCCAUUCCCCUGCAGGAUCUGAGUGGCAUGGAGCUGGGCCUGGCAGCCCAGAGUCUGCGGCUGGAGUGGAUGGCUGGGGUAGGCAGCUGUGUGCUGCUGCCCCGAGAUGCCCGACGUUGCCAGCUGUUCCUCGAGGAGUUCAUUGGUGUCUUGCAGUCUCUGCCCCCAACCCGGAGGAACUGUGUCAGUGCCACCGAGGAGGAGAUGACCCCACGGCACCGGCUCUGGCCUUUGCUGGGACAAGACACUUCCUCAGAGGUGCCACAGUUCUUCUAUCUUCAGGUGUUCCUGGUUGAAGGACCCUCCACCUGUCCUGUAUCCCUGUUGCUGACUCUGGCCACCUUGUACCUGUUAGAUGAGGACCCUGCAGGGUCCCAGGCUGAGCUCCCCCUCCCAGCAGCAUCUAGUGAUGCCUCUGAGAAGGCCUCCUCCUUGGGGCUGGGCCCCUCCGUGCAAGUCAGGGAGCAGCAGCCACUCAGCAGCCUGAGCUCAGUGCUGCUAUAUCGCAUGGCCCCCGAGGACCUGCGGCUGGUCUUCUAUGACGAGGUGUCUCGGCUGGAGAGCUUCUGGGCACUCCGUGUUGUGUGCCAGGAGCAGCUGACAGCCCUGCUGGCCUGGAUCCGGGAGCCCUGGGAGGAGCUGUUUUCUAUUGGACUCCGGACUGUGACCCAGGAGACUCUGGACCUUGAUCGGUGACACUUCCUCUGGCCCCAAACUGACCUCAGGAGCCACGCAGCAGAGGUUUCUCUCCUGGUCUCUGGCUCUGGCUUUGGACUUAUCUGGCCUUUGGAUGCUGGCACCGAAGCUCCCAGUGACACGUGGCUUAAGGGAAGGCCACACAGGCCGUGACGUCUGGAGCUUUCCACACCUGCCACCUUCUUGAAGCACAGCCCAGUGGUUCCAUGGUUGACAUCCCCCCUUCACCUGUCUUCAUGUCUGGCCAUGAAGACUGGCUCAGGACUGAUCACGUGCUGUCAUGUGGCCCACCAAGGCCCAGCAUUGGCCUAGGGCUGGUACAACCGUGAAAGACGCAUUUUCUCUUGAGGGUUGCUGAGAGGACAGACUGGUGCCACUGGCUAUGAGGGGAGAGCUUUUCUGAAAGUGGAAUCGUGGAGAGGAGAGGAUGGAGAUAGGUAGAGCAAGACCAAAUCCUGGUGAUGUCUUUGUGGACCCUGAAUCCGAUUGUACCUAAAGGUGAUAUUCCUAUAAUUUUAGAUUAUGUGAGUUAACUGAUACCUUUCCUUCUUUUGGUGGGUGGGGUAGGUUUAAGCUUGAACAAGCCUGGGUGGGAUCUGUUUUUUUUUUUUUUUUUAACCCCAAGUAUGAACAUAAUAGAAACAAUAACACCUAUGUCUUGUGUAGAGAGGCCCUGCUUCUUGAAUGAGGCUGUAUGCUGAAUCCAGUUCACUUUGUGUGUCAGGUCACUAAGCCUAUGGCCUUGACCAGUUUGUGGCCUGAUUGCUUUGGUGGGACAGCAGGGCUGAAGGCUGUGUCAUAGUUGAGCCUUGGCCUGGCCAGGAAUCACAUCUCUAAAUCUUUGCAGUCAAAAUAUCUAAAGAUUUAAGAGGGGACGUUUUCAAAGCUAUUACUUUAAAAUUUAUUUGAAGAGUAUUGAACAUGCAUAAGAAAGUUUACAUUGUACUUUGGGAUAUACUCCCACUGCUGACCCCUAGAUCCUUUCUAGUUGAGCAUGGUUACCCAUUUUUUGUGCUUCUGUCAAAAAUUUCACUGUGUCCACUCCGACCUAGCAUUUCUUCCAGAAAAGGGUUGGUUAUGGCAUUCCAUAAAGAGUGAGUGCUAAGAUUAGUUUUUCCCCAGGCAGGGCCCUGAUCUGGUCUGGUGGGAGGUGGAGAAGUGCUAUGAGUCUUGCAGGGGGCCAGGUGGGAGCUGGUUGGGGUACUACUUCCUCAGGAACAGGCCUGCAGAGAGGCCUGGCAGAUGCUCAGAAAAUAAAUUCACCUACUUCUGUUUUGCUUAGAGCUGCCCUGAAUUUUUAAUUGAAGCAAAUUAAACUUCCCCAAAUUAGUAGUCCAGUUUCUCAAUGAUGUUUACCAUAUUCACUGCCCCUUCCUGUCAGUGAUUUUGCAGCCUCUGAGAGCAGGAGGAGCCAGAUCCUGUCCUGAGGAGGUCUUCCCAGCCUCUGUCCGGGCACUGCCCUCCAGCACCGUCCCUUUGCAAGCACUUCACCCAGAGGCUGGGGUUGUUGUCUGGUCAGGGCGGAUCGA